Dipodomys ordii (Ord's kangaroo rat) is the source of this 761-nucleotide long non-coding RNA. RefSeq lists it as uncharacterized. The transcript is spliced from 5 exons. The record is from RefSeq and is a predicted model, not a curated record. Lineage: Eukaryota; Metazoa; Chordata; Mammalia; Rodentia; Heteromyidae.
AGGAACUAACCCAGGAGUGUGAUGAAAAGAAAUCCCAAUAUGAUAGCUGUGCAGCAGGCCUCGAAAGCAAUCGGUCCAAAUUAGAACAGGAAGUUAGAGGACUCCGGGAAGAGUGUCUUCAAGAAGAAAGUAAAUACCAUUAUACAAAUUGUAUGAUUAAGGACCUAGAAGUUCAACUUCGUCGCGCUACUGAUGAGAUGAAAGCAUAUGUCUCCUCCGAUCAACAAGAAAAGAGGAAGGCAAUUAGGGAACAGUAUACCAAAAAUAUUACUGAACAAGAAAACCUUGGAAAGAAACUUCGAGAAAAACAAAAAGCUGUACGAGAAAGUCAUGGUCCAAAUAUGAAACAAGUGAAAAUGUGGCAUGAUUUUGAACAAUUGAUGGAAUGUAAAAAACAAUGCUUUCUGAAACAACAAAGCCAAACUUCUGUUGGUCAGGUAAUUCAGGAGGGAGGAGAGGACCGGCUGAUACUGUGAAUUCUUGGGUCAUUGUUUUGGGUUGUACUUGACACUAUUAGUUAUAAGCACAUUCCAUAAUGUAUUUCUUUCCUUGAAAGUCAUUUGAACAACCUUUUGCUUUCAGGUUAACCAUUCCUUUUUAAAAAGUUUUCUUGGAAAGUUAAGGUAGAUUUAGAUUUAAAAGGGUUUUGGUUGUUGUUGUUUAAUAUGAAAAAGAAGCUUUUUUUGUUUAGUGUAGAUAUCAGUGGUGUCUCCUAGGUUUUUAUGGGGGAAGAGACUAAGUUUACUAUCUACAGAUGUAAA